Molecule: long non-coding RNA, 2005 nt
Organism: Solea senegalensis (Senegalese sole)
Lineage: Eukaryota; Metazoa; Chordata; Actinopteri; Pleuronectiformes; Soleidae
Exons: 5
Source: RefSeq, a predicted model, not a curated record
UAUUGUCGUCCCGGAUUACAACCUGUGACAGUCUGUCGCCUGUACAAUCCACGACAGGCUGUGUUGCGCGUGUUUUUGCAAGCUUAUUGCUGAUGCUGGAUUCACACAUACAGUACAUGUUAAUGGCUUUUGAAGGUGGGCUGGUCUGGAGGUAUCUAUCAGAGGCAGGAGCUGCUAAUGUUGUAACAUGUCCACCUUUUUUGGGUGCGCUUUGUCCGACAAAAACGGGGAACAAGGACAACAAUCUCGUCCAAGAGUGGAGCAUUAAAUGUGAUUUGAUUGUCUGGCUCCUGUGUUGGAAUAAUUAUUUGCACAACAUGAUUUGAUUGGCUGACGCUUGGAAAGUGGAGCAUUUCUCGACUUCUGCCGCCCGCAACAGGAGCAGAGCAACGGACCCACAGUGUGAACGAGAAGCGCUUCACUUGACGGCGUGUCCGUCACGUACAUAGUCUCUCCCGGUCCAGUGCAAUGAUUAUCAUGGAUGGGUUUGAGAGGAAGCCUUGGUUGUUAAAUGACAGAUCUCUUUGUUCCCACGUCACGUUCAGCAUGUGCCUAUUGUCAUGUAUGUACCUUGAACAUGCAGAGGAUCUGCUGCUCCAGAGAUGCGCCCAUCUGCAGAAACGAGGAUCCCUCCGCCUGUACACACUCAGAGAGUCUGUAAAGCCCUUGAGAGCUGUGCAGCCCGAGGGGUACCACAGGAAUAUCACAGCCAGACUCUCCUUCACUCAAUUGUACUAGUUUCAUCUCCGCCUGCGCUUGUUUGAGACUCACCUCCCGAGGCACAGACGCUCCACCAGACCACUGACUGGGCUGUGCACCAAAAUAGGUACAAAAAUAGCUGUACACAACCAUGUCAGUGUGUGAGUGAAUGAAUAAAAAAUGUCUCUGGAUCGGAAGCCCUGGUUAACCCUAUGCUGUCCCACUUCAGCAGACAUAGGGAGGAGUGGUUACGUUAAAGAAAAUCAAACCGUUGAAAUCCAGCUAGUUGUUUUUGAGCAAUUAAACAAACAAACAAACGAUGCCGUGACCCUCCCUGUUAAUCACUGUUUGGGGCAAUUUUCAUUUAGCGCUGCCUUUUAAUUGUGGAAAAAAAGUCCAAAGCAAUCGUGUGUGAAGACAUCGACUUUCCCUGUGAAAUCAUGCAAGAAUUACCUACUCUUUCAUGACUAACUCUUAACCACACACACACACACACACACACACGCAUAUAAAAACCAGGUCCCCACCCCAUCCCUUUCCCCAAUCCUCCACCUCCCAGCCGUCUUGUUCUCACCACCUUGGCAAUGUGGCUGUCACAUACAGACGUAAUUAGCAGUCCUGCUGCAGGAGCGUAUGGUAAUGUGACAGGAAGACGGUGGACACGGUGGCUGCUCGCACACUCCUCUCACUGGGGGGAAACCUCUGUGCUUGAACCUCCCCCUCAGUAGAAGGACUGGUGUUGGUCAAACAGGAGGCAGGAGGCAGGUUGUCUUUUUUACUCUAUUUACAUUUUACAUAAAGUUACUUUCUUUAAUUGAGACUAUACUACAUUAAAAUGUUCCUAACACGUUAUAAUAAUAUAAUAAAAAUAAUAUAAAAAUGGUUUACAUUUAUUUCCUGAUUUGACUGCUGUAAUACAAUAUUUGUUCUCAUGAUCUUAUGUCAUUUUAGUGCCACUGGAUCCUCCAAAAACAUGAUAAAAAGCUGCUUGAAGUGGGAAUACUGCGCUGCGGCUCUGGGCUCCUCGUGACCUGCUUCUGGAGUUUCUGGACCAUGAGGCCAAACGAGAGCAAGAAGUGAGGAGUGAUGGAUUUUGGUGAUGGAGAGACAGGAAUACGGGAGGAGAAAUGAAGACAGCACGACAGUUUGAGCAAAGACACACAAUUCCAGGGGGAAAAAAUGCUCUGUCAUCUAAUGAGACACAUUGCAUCACUCUGGUCCAAGAUGUGACCUUAGACUGCAGCUAGGACUGAGACCAUAACUCUUGAUACUGUAAAUAAUCCUCCACUGACAGCUUCAAAUUGUA